This 78-nucleotide transfer RNA is filed under the name Coprothermobacter proteolyticus DSM 5265. RNAcentral's name for it is "tRNA-Asn". It matches the Rfam family "tRNA". From Rfam's summary of the family: Transfer RNA (tRNA) molecules are approximately 80 nucleotides in length. Their secondary structure includes four short double-helical elements and three loops (D, anti-codon, and T loops). Lineage: Bacteria; Pseudomonadati; Coprothermobacterota; Coprothermobacteria; Coprothermobacterales; Coprothermobacteraceae. The record is from RNAcentral.
UUCCGGAGUAGCUCAAUCGGCAGAGCAGCGGACUGUUAAUCCGUUGGUUGCAGGUUCGAGUCCUGCCUCCGGAGCCAU